This 662-nucleotide long non-coding RNA is filed under the name Bos mutus (wild yak). Its description in RNAcentral is "lncRNA (ENSBMUG00000002855.1)". Lineage: Eukaryota; Metazoa; Chordata; Mammalia; Artiodactyla; Bovidae. The record is from RNAcentral.
CCCUACCCUCAACCAAAACUGCCUGGCGGGGUUGUUUUGGAGAAAAUUGACGGCUUCUCUUCUUCUUUGAUUUUUGUUCUUCCCCGCACCCGGAGCUUGCAGGACUCAACACUGGCAGAAGGGAACACUGUCCAAAACUUGGAAGAUCACCCCUUCAGAGGAAACAAGGCCAGGAGGUGGUCUGGGAUGCGUUGUCACAGGAGCCAGGAUAGGCAGAAAAGACAGUCUAUCCACACCAGAAGGUUCUCAUUCUGAAGAGAUAUGAAAGUGACCUGUGGGAUUUUUCUGAAGUGCUGCUGGCUGGGAACUGCUGGAGGUGCAGUGGGUCUUACCCUAGUGUGUGGAGCUAAGUGAUUUCUGAUCUCUGAAGGCAAGGAAGCUCCUGGAGUGGCAUCAAGCGUGGGUGACAGGCAGCGUGGACGAGCAGUGGGCAGUGAGGCCUCUUCCCUGAUGGUUCAAGUGCACAUGACUGAUGAAUGGGUACCACGGGGUCGGAGCAUUGCAGAGGUAUAUUUAGCUGUUACCUAGGACUCAGUCCACUCAUCUCCCACCCACUGGGACACCCAUUGGAUGGCAUGCAGUGGAUACCAGGGAAGGAGGCUGUGGACCUGCUCUCAGGGCCUGGGGUGCCUGUGGCCGAUCCUAGCUGCAUCCACUUAUAA